GAUGAACGCUGGCGGCGUGCCUAAUACAUGCAAGUCGAGCGAACAGACGAGGAGCUUGCUCCUCUGACGUUAGCGGCGGACGGGUGAGUAACAUGUGGAUAACCUACCUAUAAGACUGGGAUAACUUCGGGAAACCGGAGCUAAUACCGGAUAAUAUAUUGAACCGCAUGGUUCAAUAGUGAAAGACGGUUUUGCUGUCACUUAUAGAUGGAUCCGCGCCGCAUUAGCUAGUUGGUAAGGUAACGGCUUACCAAGGCAACGAUGCGUAGCCGACCUGAGAGGGUGAUCGGCCACACUGGAACUGAAACACGGACCAGGCUCCUACGGGAGGCAGCAGUAGGGAAUCUUCCGCAAUGGGCGAAAACCUGGCGGAGCAGCGCCGCGUGAGUGAUGAAGGUCUUCGGAUCGUAAAACUCUGUUAUUAGGGAAAAACAAAUGUGUAAGUAACUAUGCACGUCUUGACGGUACCUAAUCAGAAAGCCACGGCUAACUACGUG
This 497-nucleotide ribosomal RNA is filed under the name uncultured bacterium. RNAcentral describes it as "partial 16S ribosomal RNA". It matches the Rfam family "Bacterial small subunit ribosomal RNA", at positions 28 to 507 of the family's 1533-position model. The record is from RNAcentral.